AAAUGCAGCCAUAUCACCCUGAAACUCACAACUGACAACCCACUGAAGCUCAGCAGGUGUGAGCCUGGUCGGUACCUGGAUGGGAGACCUCCUGGGAAAGCUAAGGUUGCUGCUGGAA
This 118-nucleotide ribosomal RNA is filed under the name Lepisosteus oculatus (spotted gar). Lineage: Eukaryota; Metazoa; Chordata; Actinopteri; Semionotiformes; Lepisosteidae. The record is from RNAcentral.